GUCGCUACUACCGAUUGAAUGGCUCAGUGAGGCCUUCGAACCGGCUUAGGGAGGUUGGCAACGACCACCUUGAGCCGGAAAGUUCGUCAAACUCGGUCAUUUAGAGGAAGUAAAAGUCGUAACAAGGUUUCC
RNAcentral lists this ribosomal RNA (132 nucleotides) under uncultured Basidiomycota. Its description in RNAcentral is "partial small subunit ribosomal RNA". It matches the Rfam family "Eukaryotic small subunit ribosomal RNA", at positions 1675 to 1804 of the family's 1831-position model. Lineage: Eukaryota; Fungi; Basidiomycota. The record is from RNAcentral.